CACGUAGGGCGCAAGCGUUGUCCGGAAUUAUUGGGCGUAAAGAGCUCGUAGGCGGUCUGUUGCGUCUGCUGUGAAAACCCGGGGCUUAACCCCUGGCUUGCAGUGGAUACGGACAGACUAGAGGUAGGUAGGGGAGAAUGGAAUUCCCGGUGUAGCGGUGAAAUGCGCAGAUAUCGGGAGGAACACCGGUGGCGAAGGCGGUUCUCUGGGCCUUACCUGACGCUGAGGAGCGAAAGCGUGGGGAGAGAACAGG
This 253-nucleotide ribosomal RNA is filed under the name uncultured bacterium. Its description in RNAcentral is "partial 16S ribosomal RNA". It matches the Rfam family "Bacterial small subunit ribosomal RNA", at positions 524 to 776 of the family's 1533-position model. The record is from RNAcentral.